CCUGGCUCAGGAUGAACGCUAGCGACAGGCCUAACACAUGCAAGUCGAGGGGCAGCACAAGGAGCAAUCUGAGGUGGCGACCGGCGCACGGGUGAGUAACACGUAUGCAACCUGCCUGUAAGCGGGGAAGUAACCCGUUGAAAGACGGACUAAUACCGCAUAAUACUAAAUUACUGCAUGGUAAUUUAUUUAAACAUUUAUGGCUUACAGAUGGGCAUGCGCAUGAUUAGCUAGUUGGAGAGGUAACGGCUCCCCAAGGCAACGAUCAUUAGGGGUUCUGAGAGGAAGGUCCCCCACACUGGUACUGAGACACGGACCAGACUCCUACGGGAGGCAGCAGUGAGGAAUAUUGGUCAAUGGACGAGAGUCUGAACCAGCCAAGUCGCGUGCAGGAAGAAUUGUCCUAUGGAUUGUAAACUGCUUUUGCAGGGGAAUAAAGUGCAUCACGUGUGAUGUUUUGUAUGUACUCUGCGAAUAAGGAUCGGCUAACUCCGUGCCAGCCGCGGC
This 507-nucleotide ribosomal RNA is filed under the name uncultured bacterium. RNAcentral's name for it is "bacterial SSU rRNA". It matches the Rfam family "Bacterial small subunit ribosomal RNA", at positions 18 to 518 of the family's 1533-position model. The record is from RNAcentral.